ACUCGACUCUGAGCCUGGGCGUCCAGCACACCCACCCUAAAAUUUCUCACGUUUGCAAUCCGGCCAUCCUGCACACAAGCAGAAAAUCUGCCGCCCUGAUUCCUUCGCCGAGCAGGAAGCGCGAUGCACAAUCCACUGGGGAGGGCGUCUCUCUAGCAUCGCAGGAAGAGAUCUCCCGGAUUGCCGCAGCUUCUUCAAUCGCUAGCACCCUCCCCCUCAGUCCCCUGCGUGUCUGCAACUAUGGAUCUCUACAUGCGACGGCGGCUCCCAUCGGUAGAAGCCACGGCGUCUCGGUGACGGCUAAGCGGC
Molecule: long non-coding RNA, 309 nt
Filed under: Panicum hallii
Lineage: Eukaryota; Viridiplantae; Streptophyta; Magnoliopsida; Poales; Poaceae
Description: long non-coding RNA (PHAL_LNC000521)
Source: RNAcentral